This 325-nucleotide ribosomal RNA is filed under the name uncultured eukaryote. Its description in RNAcentral is "partial 18S ribosomal RNA". It matches the Rfam family "Eukaryotic small subunit ribosomal RNA", at positions 1470 to 1796 of the family's 1831-position model. The record is from RNAcentral.
CCCUUAGAUGUUCUGAGCCGCACGCGCGCUACACUGAUGCAUUCAACGAGCCUAUCCUUGACCGACAGGUCCGGGUAAUCUUUGAAUCUGCAUCGUGACGGGGAUAGAUUAUUGCAAUUAUUAAUCUUCAACGAGGAAUACCUAGUAGGCGCAAGUCAUCAGCUUGCGUCGAUUACGUCCCUGCCCUUUGUACACACCGCCCGUCGCUCCUACCGAUUGGGUGUGCUGGUGAAAUGUUCGGAUCGGCCGUUUGUCGCGGUUUCCGCGUCAUGUGGCUGAGAAGUUCAUUAAACCCUCCCACCUAGAGGAAGGAGAAGUCGUAACA